AUGGAACAUUCACGCGAAGAUAGAGAUGCUAGAAUUCUGAAGAUCCCUUUUGAGGCAAUCAAAUCCUUCUACUCUAACUGCAGCCAAUUUGAGUCCAAAGAACACCCUAGCACAUCUGCCUUUGCGGGAUACAGAGGUUGCGAAGGCAAACCUGAUGGUGAUGGUGAUAUGAUUUCGUCUCCAAAACGAGCGUCGUGGACUAAGGGAUUUGCAACCCAGAUCGGCGGAGACACGCAAAAAUAUGGUGGAGAUAAAGUUGUCUGA
Non-coding RNA from Vicia faba (fava bean), 264 nucleotides. The record is from the annotation of a GenBank genome assembly. Lineage: Eukaryota; Viridiplantae; Streptophyta; Magnoliopsida; Fabales; Fabaceae.